This 267-nucleotide long non-coding RNA is filed under the name Elaeis guineensis (African oil palm). Its description in RNAcentral is "long non-coding RNA (EGUI_LNC029196)". The record is from RNAcentral. Lineage: Eukaryota; Viridiplantae; Streptophyta; Magnoliopsida; Arecales; Arecaceae.
AUAACUGGGGAGGGAGUCAUUGAUGAAGACCGGGAUGGCAUCGGGGCAAGAAGAGGGUCUGCACCUUUAAUUCUUUUUGGCAUGGAAACAGUAGUAGAUGAUUUCAAUUGAUCCUUCCUCAUCCUUUCAUCCAUCUUUGCCGGAUUGAACCUCAUCUCUGCAUCAAAUAUAUGAUUUAGAACAUUGGAGACAAAAAAAAGUUAAAAAUAAAACAAUCCAAUCUUACCCCAAGGAGAGUACAAACUGAUUCCGAUGUUAUACAAUGCC